AGCGGAUUUAGAUUGGGAUUAUCGGGAUAAAUUCGCUUGGAAAAGGUUGAAUAUAUCUGAUUGUUGUCGUGAUUAAAAAUGUUUUUUUACAAAUUUUAAUUUCCAUCCACGAUUCAUAGGAUUUUGAUCAGACUUUUAAUAAUUUUUAAUCGGGAAUGGUCCUGUCAAGGACGACAGUAAAAAUCGUGAAUGUGUGACCCCAGCUUAAGAAAUGAUAAAAUGAUAAAAUGAAAUAGCAAAAAAUACCAAUUAUCAAGGAAAUUUCAAUACGGAAAGUCCUGUAUCAAAUUGAAAAAUCAAACAGUCAAACACAUCAAAUGAAUGGAGAACAACUGUCAUAUUCCUGGCUUGGUACAAGUAUAUCCUUGGUAGAAAAUGGCGGAUUUAACCUGGUUUUAGAGGUUUUUUAGCUAGUUAAACCUCUCACUUUUAUGACAGUCACAUAGAAAACCAUGCUUGUAGCAGGUGUGUUUUUAAUCUCAUUAUCAAUUGAUUCCGAUUUCCUAUUUCAUUUAAAAGUUCUAUUUUCUAUCUACCUCCAUCAAUAAAAACUCGGCAUAUUCAUUAAGCAAAGAGUCAGAAAAUUUCGUUUAAACACC
Molecule: long non-coding RNA, 599 nt
Filed under: Mytilus galloprovincialis (Mediterranean mussel)
Lineage: Eukaryota; Metazoa; Mollusca; Bivalvia; Mytilida; Mytilidae
Source: RNAcentral